AUUGAACGCUGGCGGAAUGCUUUACACAUGCAAGUCGAACGGCAGCACGGGAGCUUGCUCCUGGUGGCGAGUGGCGAACGGGUGAGUAAUGCGUCGGAACGUACCGAGUAAUGGGGGAUAACGCAGCGAAAGCUGUGCUAAUACCGCAUACGCCCCGAGGGGGAAAGCAGGGGAUCGCAAGACCUUGCGUUAUUCGAGCGGCCGACGUCUGAUUAGCUAGUUGGUGGGGUAAAGGCUCACCAAGGCGACGAUCAGUAGCGGGUCUGAGAGGAUGAUCCGUCACACUGGAACUGAGACGCGGUCCCGACUCCUACGGGAGGCAGCAGUGGGGAAUUUUGGACAAUGGGGGAAACCCUGAUCCAGCCAUUCCGCGUGAGUGAAGAAGGCCUUCGGGUUGUAAAGCUCUUUCAGCCGGAACGAAACGGUACGCUCUAACAUAGCGUGCUAAUGACGGUACCGGCAGAAGAAGCACCGGCUAACUACGUGCCAGCAGCCGCGGUAAUACGUAGGGUGCGAGCGUUAAUCGGAAUUACUGGGCGUAAAGCGUGCGCAGGCGGAUUGUUAAGCAAGAUGUGAAAUCCCCGGGCUUAACCUGGGAAUGGCAUUUUGAACUGGCAGUCUAGAGUGUGUCAGAGGGGGGUGGAAUUCCACGUGUAGCAGUGAAAUGCGUAGAUAUGUGGAGGAACACCAAUGGCGAAGGCAGCCCCCUGGGAUAACACUGACGCUCAUGUACGAAAGCGUGGGUAGCAAACAGGAUUAGAUACCCUGGUAGUCCACGCCCUAAACGAUGUCAACUGGUUGUUGGGGGAGUGAAAUCCCUUAGUAACGAAGCUAACGCGUGAAGUUGACCGCCUGGGGAGUACGGUCGCAAGAUU
Molecule: ribosomal RNA, 875 nt
Filed under: uncultured bacterium
Lineage: Bacteria
Description: bacterial SSU rRNA
Rfam family: Bacterial small subunit ribosomal RNA
Source: RNAcentral